RNAcentral lists this transfer RNA (66 nucleotides) under Tonatia saurophila (stripe-headed round-eared bat). Its description in RNAcentral is "transfer RNA-Lys". It matches the Rfam family "tRNA". From Rfam's summary of the family: Transfer RNA (tRNA) molecules are approximately 80 nucleotides in length. Their secondary structure includes four short double-helical elements and three loops (D, anti-codon, and T loops). Lineage: Eukaryota; Metazoa; Chordata; Mammalia; Chiroptera; Phyllostomidae. The record is from RNAcentral.
CAUUAAGAAGCUAAUCAGCGUUAACCUUUUAAGUUAAAGACGGGGGAACAACUCUCCCCUUAAUGA